AUUGAACGCUGGCGGCAGGCUUAACACAUGCAAGUCGAGCGGAGAUGAGGUGCUUGCACCUUAUCUUAGCGGCGGACGGGUGAGUAAUGCUUAGGAAUCUGCCUAUUAGUGGGGAAAACAUUCCGAAAGGAAUGCUAAUACCGCAUACGUCCUACGGGAGAAAGCAGGGGAUCUUCGGACCUUGCGCUAAUAGAUGAGCCUAAGUCGGAUUAGCUAGUUGGUGGGGUAAAGGCCUACCAAGGCGACGAUCUGUAGCGGGUCUGAGAGGAUGAUCCGCCACACUGGGACUGAGACACGGCCCAGACUCCUACGGGAGGCAGCAGUGGGGAAUAUUGGACAAUGGGUGGAACCCUGAUCCAGCCAUGCCGCGUGUGUGAAGAAGGCCUUAUGGUUGUAAAGCACUUUAAGCGAGGAGGAGGCUACUGAGACUAAUACUCUUGGAUAGUGGACGUUACUCGCAGAAUAAGCACCGGCUAACUCUGUGCCAGCAGCCGCAGUAA
This 500-nucleotide ribosomal RNA is filed under the name uncultured bacterium. Its description in RNAcentral is "partial 16S ribosomal RNA". It matches the Rfam family "Bacterial small subunit ribosomal RNA", at positions 30 to 523 of the family's 1533-position model. The record is from RNAcentral.